AGAAAACCAUUUUCAUGGUUUUGGACAGAGAACCAGGCACCGAGGCGCCCAUUUUAAAAGAAAAAAUGAGUUGGGGACCUUUUUGUUCACUUUUGAAACUUCAGGGACCAAGGCUGCAAUUUUCCUAGGUUUUAAUAUAAAACCAGCAGCUGAGUUUUCAUUUGCAGUUCUUCAGUUCGAUCUUCUGCUGGGUUCUGUUUUCUGCUGGGUUCUUUCUUUUUUUUCAUUUUGCUUUCAUUUUCUUUUCUUUUUCUUGGUUAUUUUGGAGAUAUAACAUAGAGUAACAGGGAGAUAACAUCAAGGAUUUGGCAAAGCAUUUGGGGAAAAUCAUAGUCAAUCUACAAAAAAGGGUUUUAUCUAUAUCUUUGUAUUUUCUUCAUCAUUUAGCCUUAUUUGUAAUACAUUUGAUGAAUAUUCUCCUUGAUUAUCAUUUAUUUAACAUGGGCUAAGUAUUUUGUUGGGAUUUAUGGUAGUAGCUUGACAUAGGUUUAAUUGAUUUUCAAUAUUUGCUAUUUGAUAUUAAAUUGCCCAUUUCCAUGUGUUUCUAUUAUUAUAUUUAUUGCAUUUUCAUUUAUGUGGCCAAUGAAUGAAUAUGUUUCGUGAAGUGUACAUAGUUCGAGAGAAGAUUGUGUAUUUUAGACCAAAUGGUAGAAACUCUAGGUUUGUAUAGAGGAUAGAUAUAUAUCUUUAGCCCUAUGUGACCCAAUGAGCUAUUUUCAUAACAAUUUAAUGCUGUUAUUUAGUUGUAAUCGACAUAGAGAUAUAAUAGGUUAAACCAAUCAAUUAUGGUUAAUUUCACUCGAGAGAGGUAAUUAGCUAAAAUUGAAGAAUCGGAUCUAACAUCGUAAAUGAGUAAUUCGUUAAUUGGCAUAUGGAGAAAUUAAUUAGGCGACGGCUAAGCGAAACCAUGAAUCUCAAUCACGUUUUCCUCCAAAAUUCCCAAGAUUUCCAUAUUUUCCUAUUUUGUAUUUUUUUUUCUUUAGUUUCUAAAAUCAACUCUUUGUUGUGUAUUUGUUUAUUUUCAUUGUUAGAAUUAAAUUGAUUAAAGUUGUGUAAUUUAAAUUAAACAUUCCUCGAGGGAUCGACAACUCGGACUUCAAAUGUCCACUUUAUUACUUGAACGCGACCCGUGCACUUGCAGUAUGAUUUUAGCGAACAAGUUUUUGGCGCCGUUGCUGGUGAAUGUUUUAUUUCAAUUAUCAUCUUUUGUUGAUUCUAAUUUUUACAAGUUUCGUUCUUUUUUUCUUUUGCAUAGCUUUUAUAUAUUUAUUGUGUAAUUAACUUUUAACCUUAGGUCUUUGGUGGUGCAUGCUUCGUUCGAGAAGUUUUGAUCUUUUCGAGCUUGAUCCGGAUAUUGAAAAACCUUUCCAAAGAAGGCGACGGGAACAAAGGGAAUUGAGAAGGCAACAAUUGAUUGAGAUGACACACCAAGGGAGUAAUUUGGAACAUAAUGCUCAACCGGAAAAUGUUCCUCGAGGCGGCAUUCCACCGGGUUUUGGUAACCAAGCGGGUAGAGUUCAAGAGCCUAUUGUAAAUGAGGAAGAUAUACUGUUUGGGAACUUCAUGAACCCACCCGUAGUAGAGAAUGAAUCAAGUAUUGUUUACCCUCCAUAUUGACAUCCAAACUUUCAACUUCGUCCGGAUGUUAUUAGUUUGUUCUCCAAUACCAUUCCAUUCUAUGGAAGGAUUGAUGAGAACCCUCACUCACAUGUUGCACGAUUCAUAGAGAAUGUUGAAAAUUUUAAAUAUGAAGGCGUAAAUGUGGAGACGAUCCGGAUGAGGUUAUUUGUUCACACAUUGAAGGAUAAGGCAAGGGAAUGGCUUGAGACUCUACCGCCCAGAAGUAUAAAUAGUUGGUUGGAAUUUAUUCAAAAAUUCACAGCCAAAUUCUUUCCACCCGCCUGAGUAGCCAAACUCAAGCAUGACAUAACCACUUUCCAACAAUCCGAAUUUGAGAGCUUUCACGAGGCUUGAGAAAGGUUCAAGGAUAUGCUUCGAAAAUGUCCAAAUCAUGGAAUCACAAUGGGGCAACAAGUGAAUCAUUUUUAUGCCGGGUUGACUCCUUCUUGCCGUUCAAAUGUGGAUUCAUCAUCUAAUGGCUCAAUCAAGAAGAAGAAUAUUCGGGAAGCAUAUGAUCUAUUUAAGGUCAUGAGUGAACAAAGUGCUAUGUGGCCGGAUAGAGGUUCACAAAGAGGGGUUGGUGGAGUUCGAGAUGGUGAAGCUUUCUCAAUGGUUCUAGCAAAGAUCGACUCACUAGCAAAGAAGGUAGAAGGACUUUCUUCAUCUACCUCGAGCUCUCAUUCCGCUCAUAUGGUACAAUCUCCACCUAUUUGUGAUAUUUGUGAACCAAAUCACCGAAGCCCGAGUUGUCCAUUGAUAGGUAGUGGUUCAGCAUCUACCGAGCAAGUGGUAUAUACUCAAAACUUUCAACGCCAAGGAUACAAUCCUUAUUCGCAAACUUAUAACCCCAGUUGGUGAAAUCAUCCGAACUUUUCUUAUGGAAAUAAUCAAAAUGUGCUCAACUCGAAGCCACAAGAGAAAAAAAAGGUUGGGAAGAGGCUAUUGCUAAGUUGGCAAACCAUCAAUUAUAAUAUUAAGAAAGCAAUGAUGCCUCUUUGAAAAACUUGGAAUGUCAAGUGGGUCAAAUUGCCAAGCUUAUCUUCGAAAGGCAAUAGCGGGCAUUGCCUAGCAACACCGAAACAAAUCCAAGGGAGAAUGUACAAGCUAUUACCACUAGAAGUGGGGUGCAAUUGCCCGAAAUCACGGUGACACGCCCUAAGGGUCAAACCGACAAGACACCCAUUGAAGAAGAAAGGAUUAUGCAAGAACCUAGUCCAAAGGACGAGACACUAAUUGAAGAAGAAUCGGAGCCAUCAACAUCAAAGGCUCCAAUACCGGUCAAAGCCUAUGUGCCUCAUAUUCCCUUCCCACAAAGGCUUCACAAACAGAAAUUGGAUGCUCAAUUUGGAAACUUUUUGGAGAUAUUCAAGAAGCUACACAUAAACAUUCCAUUUGCCGAUGCAUUAGCUCAAAUGCCGAAUUAUGCCAAAUUUAUGAAGGACAUUCUUUCAAACAAAAGGAAACUAGAAGAACAUGAGACAGUAAUGCUAACGGAAGAGUGUAGUGCUAUCCUUCAGAAGAAGCUACCACCGAAAAUCAAAGAUCCAGGGAGUUUUACUAUUCCAUGCACUAUUGGAGAUUUAAAUUUUAGUAAAGCUUUAUGUGAGCUUGGUGCCAGUAUUAGUUUGAUGCCUUUGUCUAUUUUCAAGAAGCUGGGAUUGGGAGAAGCUAAGGCCACCACUGUAUCAUUACAAUUGGCUGAUUGAUCAAUUAAAUAUCCUCGGGGUGUCAUUGAGGAUGUAUUGGUCAAGGUGGACAAAUUCAUAUUUCCAGCUGAUUUCAUAAUUCUUGACAUGGAAGAGGAUCAUGACAUCCCUAUCAUUUUAAGACGACCAUUUCUUGCCACCGGUCGAGCUUUGAUUGAUGUGCAAAAGGGGCAGCUCGUUCUAAGAGUCCAAGAUGAAAAAGUUACAUUCAAUAUCUUGAAGGCCAUCAAGUAUCCAUCGGAAUCUGAUUCAUGCCUUCGAGUGGAUGUUGUUGAUCAUGUGGUUGCCGAGUCUUUUUACAGGCUUUCUAAGGAUCCUCUAGAAGCAUGUCUUGUUUAUCCUUUGGCUAUCAAAGAGGAAGACCCUAAAGUUGAGCAUAUGGUACACUAUUUGGAGGCUACACCUUCUCGGUCUUAUAAGAGAGCACCAAAUUAUGAGGACUUGGAAAAGAGCUCUUCACCACCACUGCCAUUUCUUCAGCAGACACCUAUACUUGAUUUGAAGCCUCUUCCAUCUCAUUUGAGGUAUGCUUAUUUGGGAGAGUCAUCUAUGCUUCCGGUUAUCAUUGCUAAUUUCUUAAAUGAAUUGGAUGAAGAGAAGUAACUCGGGUGUUAAGGGAGUACAAGGGAGCCAUUGGUUGGACUAUUACAGACAUUAAGGGAAUUAGUCCUUCACUAUGCAUGCAAAAAAUCCUUAUGGAGGAUGAUUUCAAAUCAUCAGUGGAGCAUCAAAGGCAAUUGAACCCCAACAUGAAAGAAGUGGUAAAGUAGCUUGAUGCGGGCAUUAUUUAUCCGAUUUCAGAUAGUACAUGGGUGAGCCCCGUUCAAGAGGUGCCAAAGAAAGGAGGUGUCACGGUUGUGGAAAAUGAGGAUAAUGUACUUAUACCUACUAGACCCGUGAUCGGUUGGAGGGUAUACAUAGAUUACCGCAAGCUUAACAAGACUACAGGGAAUGAUCACUUUCCUCUUCCUUUUAUUGAUCAAAUGCUUGAGCGGUUAGCGGGGUAUUCUCAUUAUUGUUUUUUGGAUGGGUAUUCAGGCUAUAAUCAAAUUCCUAUAGCCCCAGAGGAUUAAGAGAAAACCACCUUCACAUGCUCAUAUGAUAUAUUUGCAUAUAGAAAGAUGCCCUUUGACCUUUGCAACGCACCCGCCACUUUCUAAAGGUGUAUGAUGGCUAUAUUCUCCGACAUGGUGGAGAAAUUUACUGAGGUUUUUAUGGAUGACUUCUCGGUAUGUGGGGCCUCAUUUGAUGGAUGUUUGAGCAAUUUAGAGAUAGUGUUGAAAAGAUGUGAGGAGACAAAUUUAGUACUUAAUUGAGAAAAAUAUCAUUUCAUGGUCCAGGAAGGCAUAGUUUUCGGCCAUCGGAUUUCACGUAAAGGGAUAGAGGUUUACAAGGCAAAAAUCCAAGUCAUUGAGAAAUUACCUCUACAUACCUUGGUGAAAGGGAUAAGGAGUUUUUUGGGGCAUGCCGAAUUUUAUAGGAGGUUUAUCAUGGACUUUUUGAAGAUCACAAAUCCACUUUGCUCCUUACUUGAGAAGAACACUCCAUUUGAUUUCUCUCAAGAGUGCCUCCAUGCUUUUAACACUCUUAAAGAGAAACUCAUCACGGCUCCUAUCAUUGUAGCUCCGGAUUGGAAUUUACCAUUUGAGCUUAUGUGCGAUGCAAGCGAUUAUGCCGUUGGAGCAGUUUUAGGGCAAAGGAGAAAUAAAAUCUUGCAUGUUAUUUACUAUGCUAGCCGGACUUUGACUGAUGCUCAACUGAACUAUGCCGUUACUGAAAAAGAGAUGCUCGCAGUGGUAUUUGCAUUUGAUAAAUUUCGAUCUUACCUCAUUGGAUCGAAAGUGAUUGUUUACAGGGACCACUCAGCCCUCAAGUAUUUGCUAGCAAAGAAAGAUGCCAAACCUCGGUUAAUUAGAUGGGUCCUUCUUCUACAAGAGUUUGACUUGGAAAUUCACGAUAAAAAAGGGACCGAAAAUGUUGUUGCCGAUCAUCUGUCUCGACUUGAGAAAACCAAAGAGGUAGUGGAUAGGGAGAUAAAUGAGGUAUUUCCCGAUGAACAACUCUUGCAAAUUAUGCAUCUUCUACAAGCCACCCAUAUACCAUGGUAUGCGGACCAUGUGAACUUUCUUGCUAGUGGCAUCAUUCCCUCGGAUCUCUCUUACCAACAAAGGAAGAAGUUCUUUGCCGAUAUCAAGCAUUAUUUUUGGAACGAUCCAUUGUUGUUCAAACAGAGCCCGGAUCAAAUUAUACGGAGAUGUGUGCGGAAGAUGAAAUGGAGCAAAUCCUUGAACAAUGUCAUUCCUCACCCUAUGUUGGUCACUUUGAGGCCCUGAAAAUCGCAUCAAAGGUACUUCAAUUCGAUUUUUAUUGGCCUACAUUAUUCAAAGAUGCUCAUAUUCUUGUCUCCAAGUGCGACAAAUGCCAACGCAGUGGUAAUAUUUCCAACCGAAAUGAAAUGCCUUUGAAUUUUAUAUUAGAGGUGGAAAUUUUUUAUGUAUGGGGUAUUGAUUUUAUGGGACCUUUUCCUCCUUCAUUCUCAAAUCAAUACAUAUUGGUAGCGGUUGAUUAUGUGUCAAAGUGGGUAGAAGCGGUGACUUUGCCCACUAAUAACGCUCGGGUAGUAGUAAACUUUUUAAAGAAAAAUAUUUUCUCUCGCUAUGGCACCCCCCGAGCUAUCAUUAUGGAGGUAAAAAUUUUUGUAAUCGCCUCUUCGACUCAGUAUUGACCAAAUAUGGAGUAAAGUAUCGUGUAGCCACUCCCUAUCAUCCCCAAACUAGUGGCCAAGUUGAAAUUUCGAAUCGGGAGUUGAAGAGGAUUCUUGAAUUGACGGUGAGUGCCUCUAGAAAAGAUUGGUCCAAGAAAUUGGAUGAUGCAUUAUGGGCUUAUUGUACCGCGUUCAAAAUGCCCAUUGGUAUGUCUCCCUAUCGUCUUUUGUUUGGAAAAGCUUGCCACCUCCCAGUAGAACUUGAGCAUCAAGCUUAUUGGACAGUGAAAGCUUUGAAUUUUGAUGUGAAAUUGGCCGAUGAGAAAAGAUUGCUCCAAUUGAAUGAACUGGAUGAAGUCCGCCUUGACUCUUAUGAGAAUGCUCAAAUUUACAAAGAAGAGACAAAGAAAUGGCAUGAUAAACACAUUGUGAAAUGCGAGUUCUUUGUUGGGCAACAAGUUCUUCUCUACAAUUCUCGACUCCGAUUGUUUCCCGGAAAGCUCCGCUCAAGAUGGUCUGGUCCUUUUACCAUUGCUAAGAUUUUUCGACAUGGAGCAAUUGAACUUCAUCAUGAGGAAAAGGGAAAUUUCAAGGUUAACGGGCAACGAUUGAAACCAUACUUUGAAGGUGAUUUUUCUAAGGAGAAGUCCUCCAUUCCUCUUGCCAAUUUGGAGUGAACAAGGCCUAUAGUCGAGCUAGGGACUAUAACCAAGCGCUUUUUGGGAUGCAACCCAACUUUCUUAUCCUUAUACUUUUGUUAUUACAUUUUGAAUUAAUACAAUUCUUUUGUAGGUCAAAAUUUUUGUAGUCCUAGCCACCCAUAGAUCUCAACAAAUUUGGGGGUGCCUGGUCCCCAAAGUCAUAAACAAAAAAUUCAUCUACAACAUCCUUCAAAAAAAUCUAAUCGGCGAAGUUUCGUUAUCCCUCUCCUCUUUAUCUUGUUUUUUACACAUUGAGGACAAUGUGUGGUUUAAGUUUGGAGGUGAUUGUGCUUGAAUUGGUGAUAUUAUGUUGAUGUGCUAGAUAGCCUUGCCGGCUUUGCAUGGUUUUGAUGUUUGAAAUUGUUAUUGAUUCAUGAGUUAUGCAUAUAUGACCAAAUAUGCUAUUUGUGCGUAAUUUUUUCCCAAAAAAAAUAAAAAUUGCUUAUCUAUUGUGAGAUUUUGAAUUACUUUGGGCACAAUAGUCAUGAUUAAUUGUUAUCUAGAUGUGGAAAAUUUUUGAUUGAAGGAUAUAUUUUUGAAUUGCUUGAACUAGGUUGUGACUUGUAAGUUGUUUGGAAAUUUUUAUCAAUCUGUAUUCUCUUUUCUUUCACUUUAUCAUAUUAUGAGAUAAGUUUGGAGGUGGUCGAGCCGGUGAAGAAGAUUAUCUAGAAGUGUGUGAUUUCGUGCAUGUUGAAAAUAUUUGUGUAGAGUGUCUGUUACCGAGUAUAAGCUAGGUAAUGACCAUAUGCUAGGGAUCUAAGCCCCAUUUUUGUUGUGUUAAAAAAAAAUGGAGUUAUUGUACUUGUUGAAUCUUGGGCCUCACUUUGUAGCCUUUUUGACUUGAGUUAUUAAGUGCGUAGGGGUAUUUUGUAACCCGGUACCCUUUGGCCUAAACAACCGGAGAGUUAUCGACCUAAAGCUCGCUACAAGGGUCAAAAAAAAAGUUUAAGGGAGUGAGGUAAAACAUGGGAUUCGGCUAAAAAGGAAAAAAAAAAAAAAAAAAAGAGAAAAAAAUGUUAUUGAUAUUUGGGCUUAGAUAACUAGUGAGUUUGAAUUGCUUAGUAUAAACUUGAAUGUGAAAGCACUCAUUAGUAGAGAAUCAUCACAUAACUAGAGAUUGAUAUUACUAGUUAGACCCAAUCGAACUAGAGCGGGAAAAGAAAUGAGUGACUUGAGAGCAGCCUUAUAUUUACACCUCGGGGAAAGAAAUGAAUAUCUAUUUGAGGAGUGUAAAUUCCACGAGUGGGAAAGGAAAUAUUUGACUACAAAGGGUUGGGUUGGAGAGAAUCUGAAGAUUUUUCCGUCUUGACAAAUUUUUCCUAAUUUAGAUGAUAAUUGAAAGUGAUUUUACACAUAUACACCGAUCGAACAUUGGAUAAACUCAAAUUAUUUUUGUUAGCAUUAUUUGGAGCAUAUUUGUGAAUUGAUUAUACAAUUUUACACUCAUUGAUAUUUUUGGCAAGCUAUUUAGUGUGUUGACCAUGAUCACUUUUGCUUGAUUGUGUGGUAGAUAAUCUUGCUCGGGACGAGCAAGAGUUUAAGUUUGAGGGUGUGAUAAGUGUGUUUUUGCACACUUAUUGGGCACUUAAUUUGAUAUAAUUAUUGGUAAAAAGAAUGAAAUUCUACUCAUAGUUAAAUAAUAUUUGCUUUUGUAGGUAAAAAUCACCCAAAGAAAAGAGAACAAGGCAAAAGGAGGAAAAAUGACUAAAAUUGUACAAAAUUGUGAAGUUGGAGGCUAAGGCAAAGAAGUCAAAAAGUGGAGGAUUUGGGAUGCAAUUUAUGGAGGGCAAAAUCGAAAUGGAAGUCAAAAUCCGAGGACCAAAUUGUACAAAAUCAAAGUAGAGGAACUAGCAUGCAAUGUUUGAAACUUGGCUGCAAAAAGAAAACCAUUUUCAUGCUUUUGGACAGAGAACCAGGCGCCGCGGCACCCAUUUUAAAAGAAAAAAUGAGUUGGGGGACCUUUUUGUUAACUUUAGAAACUUCAGGGACCAAGGCUGCAAUUUUCCUAGUUUCUAAUAUAAAACCAGCAGCUGAGUUUUUAUUUGCAGCUCUUCAGUUUGGUCUUCUGCUGGGUUUUUUUUUUUUUUUUUUUUUUUUUUUUUUUUUUUUUUUUUUUUUUUUUUUUUUUUUUUUUUUUUUUUUUUUUUUUUU
RNAcentral lists this long non-coding RNA (8882 nucleotides) under Olea europaea (common olive). Its description in RNAcentral is "long non-coding RNA (OEUR_LNC007024)". Lineage: Eukaryota; Viridiplantae; Streptophyta; Magnoliopsida; Lamiales; Oleaceae. The record is from RNAcentral.